RNAcentral lists this ribosomal RNA (500 nucleotides) under uncultured bacterium. RNAcentral describes it as "partial 16S ribosomal RNA". It matches the Rfam family "Bacterial small subunit ribosomal RNA", at positions 30 to 523 of the family's 1533-position model. The record is from RNAcentral.
AUUGAACGCUGGCGGCAGGCCUAACACAUGCAAGUCGAGCGGAUGAAGAGAGCUUGCUCUCUGAUUCAGCGGCGGACGGGUGAGUAAUGCCUAGGAAUCUGCCUGGUAGUGGGGGGCAACGUUUCGAAAGGAACGCUAAUACCGCAUACGUCCUACGGGAGAAAGUGGGGGAUCUUCGGACCUCACGCUAUCAGAUGAGCCUAGGUACGAUUAGCUAGUUGGUGAGGUAAAGGCUCACCAAGGCGACGAUCGUUAACUGGUCUGAGAGGAUGAUCAGUCACACUGGAACUGAGACACGGUCCAGACUCCUACGGGAGGCAGCAGUGGGGAAUAUUGGACAAUGGGCGAAAGCCUGAUCCAGCCAUGCCGCGUGCGUGAAGAAGGUCUUCGGAUUGUAAAGCACUUUAAGUUGGGAGGAAGGGCAGUAAGUUAGUACCUUGCUGUUUUGACGUUACCGACAGAAUAAGCACCGGCUAACUUCGUGCCAGCCGCCGCCGUAA